AAAAGCAAUAAAAAACAAACAAGAGAAAACCAAGGAGAAGCACGGAACAUUGCUUUUCUUUCCCCUUUGUUCGUUUCUAUGCCUUUCUUUA
Molecule: non-coding RNA, 91 nt
Filed under: Chromera velia
Lineage: Eukaryota; Chromeraceae
Source: RNAcentral